RNAcentral lists this long non-coding RNA (227 nucleotides) under Elaeis guineensis (African oil palm). RNAcentral describes it as "long non-coding RNA (EGUI_LNC054082)". The record is from RNAcentral. Lineage: Eukaryota; Viridiplantae; Streptophyta; Magnoliopsida; Arecales; Arecaceae.
CUCUUAGGUCAGAGUAUAUGAUGAAGAUGGGAUUGAGCGGCCUGGCUCAACUCUCAUAUUUGUCUAUCUAUGAGUAGCAGAUGUUUGCCCUAGGGCAUGGGUGCGAGAAGAUCCAAAAGCUUUCAAAGUUAGGUGGAGGCUGAAUAUCAAGUCGAGAUGGAGAUUGUUGGGAUUUGAUGCCUCAAAUUCGACUACAGUAAGAGAGAAGUCUAGAUGCAGAGAAACCC